This 244-nucleotide ribosomal RNA is filed under the name uncultured Methanosaeta sp. Its description in RNAcentral is "partial 16S ribosomal RNA". It matches the Rfam family "Archaeal small subunit ribosomal RNA", at positions 747 to 990 of the family's 1478-position model. Lineage: Archaea; Methanobacteriati; Methanobacteriota; Methanomicrobia; Methanotrichales; Methanotrichaceae. The record is from RNAcentral.
CUAGCCGUAAACGAUACUCGCUAGGUGUCGGCCACGGUGCGACCGUUGUCGGUGCCGUAGGGAAGCCGUGAAGCGAGCCACCUGGGAAGUACGGCCGCAAGGCUGAAACUUAAAGGAAUUGGCGGGGGAGCACAACAACGGGUGGAGCUUGCGGUUUAAUUGGAUUCAACGCCGGAAAUCUUACCGGGACCGACAGCAACAUGAAGGCCAAGCUGAAGACUUUGCCGGAUUAGCUGAGAGGUGG